This 439-nucleotide ribosomal RNA is filed under the name uncultured bacterium. RNAcentral describes it as "bacterial SSU rRNA". It matches the Rfam family "Bacterial small subunit ribosomal RNA", at positions 954 to 1392 of the family's 1533-position model. The record is from RNAcentral.
GCAAAACGCGAAGAACCUUACCAAGGCUUGACAUACACCAGAACACCGCAGAAAUACGGGACUCUUUGGACACUGGUGAACAGGUGGUGCAUGGUUGUCGUCAGCUCGUGUCGUGAGAUGUUGGGUUAAGUCCCGCAACGAGCGCAACCCUCGUUCUAUGUUGCCAGCACGUAAUGGUGGGAACUCAUGGGAUACUGCCGGGGUCAACUCGGAGGAAGGUGGGGAUGACGUCAAAUCAUCAUGCCCCUUAUGUCUUGGGCUUCACGCAUGCUACAAUGGCCGGUACAAAGGGCUGCAAUACCGUGAGGUGGAGCGAAUCCCAAAAAGCCGGUCCCAGUUCGGAUUGAGGUCUGCAACUCGACCUCAUGAAGUCGGAGUCGCUAGUAAUCGCAGAUCAGCAACGCUGCGGUGAAUACGUUCCCGGGUCUUGUACACACCG